CUGGCGGCAUGCCUAACACAUGCAAGUCGAACGAGGUUGGCUUCGGCCAGCCUAGUGGCGGACGGGUGAGUAAUGCGUGGGAAUCUGCCUCGUAGUGGGGGAUAACGUAGGGAAACUUACGCUAAUACCGCAUACGCUCUACGGAGGAAAGGGGGGGAUCUUUGGACCUCUCGCUAUGAGAUGAGCCCACGUCUGAUUAGCUAGUUGGUGGGGUAAAGGCCUACCAAGGCGACGAUCAGUAGCCGGCCUGAGAGGGUGUACGGCCACACUGGGACUGAAACACGGCCCACACUCCUACGGGAGGCAGCAGUGGGGAAUAUUGGACAAUGGGCGAAAGCCUGAUCC
Molecule: ribosomal RNA, 345 nt
Filed under: uncultured bacterium
Lineage: Bacteria
Description: bacterial SSU rRNA
Rfam family: Bacterial small subunit ribosomal RNA
Source: RNAcentral